This 275-nucleotide microRNA precursor is filed under the name Oryza sativa Japonica Group (Japanese rice). Its description in RNAcentral is "MIR821 microRNA precursor family". It matches the Rfam family "MIR821 microRNA precursor family". The record is from Rfam by way of RNAcentral. Lineage: Eukaryota; Viridiplantae; Streptophyta; Magnoliopsida; Poales; Poaceae.
GAUAUCAACUGAAAAAGUCAUCAACAACAAAGUUGGAUAACUCGUCAAGAUCUAAAACUUUUAUUUUAAUCAUUUCUUCAUACGACAAAGUGAUAGUAACAUUGUUCACAAAAUUGACAUAUCUCUUAUCUGGUUUUAUAAACUAUAACACAUAUAUGUAAAUUUUGUGAAUAAUAUUACUAACAUUUCGUCGGAUGAAGAAAUAACAAAAAUAAAAGUUUUAGAUCUUGAUGAGUUAUUCAACUUUGUUGUUGAUGACUUUUUCAAUUGAAAUC